CGCCACAGCCAUAUCACCCUGCAGCCUGCAGUUACUCACUGAAGCUAAGCAGGGCUGAGCCUGGCCAGUACCUGGAUGGGAGACCACUAGGGAACACUAGGUUGCUGUUGGAA
This 113-nucleotide ribosomal RNA is filed under the name Danio rerio (zebrafish). The record is from RNAcentral. Lineage: Eukaryota; Metazoa; Chordata; Actinopteri; Cypriniformes; Danionidae.